CCUGAUGCUGUUUUCCGGGCACAGAUUCCUGUGCCUCCUUUCAACAUUCGUUUCCUUCCAUCCCAAGUGGGCUGUCAAAAUUUUAGUUCAUUCUGGUGCCUAUUCGGCAUGUUAUCCCAGUUAGCCUUCCGCGGGCGGCACCAAGUUAGCCAGUAACCAGAAGAAAACUUUGAGGAACAGUGCCAAAACUUGAAUUUGUGGGGAAUGAGCCAGAGAGAGGAAGUAGUGGGUAAAUAGUAACUUGGGCACCGCGGCCCACCAUCUGGACCAUUGUUGAGGA
Molecule: small RNA, 280 nt
Filed under: Histoplasma capsulatum var. duboisii H88
Lineage: Eukaryota; Fungi; Ascomycota; Eurotiomycetes; Onygenales; Ajellomycetaceae
Description: Histoplasma capsulatum H88 hypothetical RNA
Source: RNAcentral